This 291-nucleotide ribosomal RNA is filed under the name uncultured bacterium. RNAcentral's name for it is "partial 16S ribosomal RNA". It matches the Rfam family "Bacterial small subunit ribosomal RNA", at positions 775 to 1067 of the family's 1533-position model. The record is from RNAcentral.
GGAUUAGAUACCCUGGUAGUCCACGCCGUAAACGAUGUGCACUAGGCGUUGGGGUGUUGAAACCUCAGUGCCGGAGCUAACGUGGUAAGUGCACCGCCUGGGGAGUAUGCCGGCAACGGUGAAACUCAAAGGAAUUGACGGGGGCCCGCACAAGCGGUGGAGCAUGUGGUUUAAUUCGACGAUACGCGAGGAACCUUACCAGGGCUUGACAUCACCCGGAAGUGGUCAGAGAUGACUAUGCUCUUCGGAGCCGGGUGACAGGUGCUGCAUGGCUGUCGUCAGCUCGUGCCG